CAUGGCCUGCGGCUCCUGAGAGGCUUCGGGACAGGACGGAAGGAGGGAUGCAGGGAAGGAGGGAUGAGAGCCCGGAGCAAAGUAUCCAGGCAUCCUUGGCACGUGGUCCUUCCCUGUGGUGGGUGCAGGUCUGGGGGGUGGCACCAGGACAG
This 152-nucleotide long non-coding RNA is filed under the name Junco hyemalis (dark-eyed junco). RNAcentral describes it as "lncRNA (ENSJHYG00000000396.1)". The record is from RNAcentral. Lineage: Eukaryota; Metazoa; Chordata; Aves; Passeriformes; Passerellidae.